UGAGGUAGAUUUUGGCGGGUGGAAAAAAAAAUCAAAAUGAAAAGUAUAAAUUAAAAAGAAAAGAGGGUAAAAUGAUCCAGGAAAUAUUACGAGAACCACUCCACAAGUUUUGAUAUCUGCAAUAUACAUUUUUUUUUUUAUCACCAAAGGAGAAGUAUAACAAUUAAUUACGGCUUCAUAUGAAAUAACAUAAGUAAUGCACAACGUCUGUUCAAAUACAUCUAUAGCAAAUCAACAGGCGGAGUCCAGCCGGUUUAUUUA
This is a long non-coding RNA of Salarias fasciatus (jewelled blenny), 261 nucleotides long. RefSeq lists it as uncharacterized. NCBI's taxonomy places the organism in Eukaryota, Metazoa, Chordata, Actinopteri, Blenniiformes, Blenniidae. The record is from RefSeq and is a predicted model, not a curated record. The transcript has 3 exons.